AACGAACGCUGGCGGCAUGCCUAACACAUGCAAGUCGAACGAGACCUUCGGGUCUAGUGGCGCACGGGUGCGUAACGCGUGGGAAUCUGCCCUUGGGUUCGGAAUAACAGUUGGAAACGACUGCUAAUACCGGAUGAUGACGUAAGUCCAAAGAUUUAUCGCCCAGGGAUGAGCCCGCGUAGGAUUAGCUAGUUGGUGGGGUAAAGGCCUACCAAGGCGACGAUCCUUAGCGGGUCUGAGAGGAUGAUCAGCCACACUGGGACUGAGACACGGCCCAGACUCCUACGGGAGGCAGCAGUGGGGAAUAUUGGCCAAUGGGCGAAAGCCUGAUCCAGCAAUGCCGCGUGAGUGAUGAAGGCCUUAGGGUUGUAAAGCUCUUUUACCCGGGAUGAUAAUGACAGUACCGGGAGAAUAAGCCCCGGCUAACUCCGUG
This 433-nucleotide ribosomal RNA is filed under the name uncultured bacterium. Its description in RNAcentral is "partial 16S ribosomal RNA". It matches the Rfam family "Bacterial small subunit ribosomal RNA", at positions 29 to 507 of the family's 1533-position model. The record is from RNAcentral.